Molecule: ribosomal RNA, 301 nt
Filed under: uncultured bacterium
Lineage: Bacteria
Description: partial 16S ribosomal RNA
Rfam family: Bacterial small subunit ribosomal RNA
Source: RNAcentral
CAGUAGCCCGGGAAUACGGAGGAUCCGAGCGUUAUCCGGAAUUAUUGGGUUUAAAGGGUGCGUAGGCGGACAGAUAAGUCAGUGGUGAAAGACGGUGGCUCAACCAUCGCAGUGCCGUUGAUACUGUUUGUCUUGAAUAUGAAUGAGGUAGGCGGAAUGUGGCAAGUAGCGGUGAAAUGCAUAGAUAUGCCACAGAACACCGAUUGCGAAGGCAGCUUACCAAGGCAAUAUUGACGCUGAGGCACGAAAGCGUGGGGAUCGAACAGGAUUAGAGACCCGCGUAGUCCCUGUCUCUUAUACC